UACGGAAGGUGCAAGCGUUAAUCGGAAUUACUGGGCGUAAAGCGUGCGCAGGCGGCUUUUUAAGUCGGAUGUGAAAGCCCCGGGCUUAACCUGGGAAUUGCAUUCGAUACUGGAAGGCUAGAAUCUAAUAGAGGUCAGCGGAAUUCCUGGUGUAGCGGUGAAAUGCGUAGAUAUCAGGAGGAACAUCAGUGGCGAAGGCGGCUGACUGGAUUAAGAUUGACGCUCAGGCACGAAAGCGUGGGGAGCAAACAGG
This 253-nucleotide ribosomal RNA is filed under the name uncultured bacterium. RNAcentral's name for it is "partial 16S ribosomal RNA". It matches the Rfam family "Bacterial small subunit ribosomal RNA", at positions 524 to 776 of the family's 1533-position model. The record is from RNAcentral.